GAUGAACGCUGGCGGCGUGCUUAACACAUGCGAGUCGAACGGAAAGGCCACAGCUUGCUGUGGUACUCGAGUGGCGAACGGGUGAGUAACACGUGGGUGAUCUGCCCUGUACUUCGGGAUAAGCUUGGGAAACUGGGUCUAAUACCGGAUAGGAAUCACAUGUGGGUGUGUGGUUGGAAAGCUUUUGCGGUAUGGGAUGAGCUCGCGGCCUAUCAGCUUGUUGGUGGGGUAAUGGCCUACCAAGGCGUCGACGGGUAGCCGGCCUGAGAGGGUGUACGGCCACAUUGGGACUGAGAUACGGCCCAGACUCCUACGGGAGGCAGCUGUGGGGAAUAUUGCACAAUGGGCGCAAGCCUGAUGCAGCGACGCCGCGUGGGGGAUGACGGCCUUCGGGUUGUAAACUCCUUUCGUCAGGGACGAAGCGAAAGUGACGGUACCUGGAUAAGAAGCACCGGCUAACUACGUG
RNAcentral lists this ribosomal RNA (466 nucleotides) under uncultured bacterium. RNAcentral's name for it is "partial 16S ribosomal RNA". It matches the Rfam family "Bacterial small subunit ribosomal RNA", at positions 28 to 507 of the family's 1533-position model. The record is from RNAcentral.